This 75-nucleotide transfer RNA is filed under the name Natronorubrum halalkaliphilum. It matches the Rfam family "tRNA". Rfam says of the family: Transfer RNA (tRNA) molecules are approximately 80 nucleotides in length. Their secondary structure includes four short double-helical elements and three loops (D, anti-codon, and T loops). Further hydrogen bonds mediate the characteristic L-shaped molecular structure. tRNAs have two regions of fundamental functional importance: the anti-codon, which is responsible for specific mRNA codon recognition, and the 3' end, to which the tRNAs corresponding amino acid is attached (by aminoacyl-tRNA synthetases). tRNAs cope with the degeneracy of the genetic code in two manners: having more than one tRNA (with a specific anti-codon) for a particular amino acid; and 'wobble' base-pairing, i.e. permitting non-standard base-pairing at the 3rd anti-codon position. The record is from Rfam by way of RNAcentral. Lineage: Archaea; Methanobacteriati; Methanobacteriota; Halobacteria; Halobacteriales; Natrialbaceae.
GCUCCGAUGGUGUAGUCCGGCCAAUCAUAUUACCCUCUCACGGUAAUGACCUGGGUUCAAAUCCCAGUCGGAGCA